RNAcentral lists this unclassified non-coding RNA (201 nucleotides) under Hevea brasiliensis (rubber tree). The record is from RNAcentral. Lineage: Eukaryota; Viridiplantae; Streptophyta; Magnoliopsida; Malpighiales; Euphorbiaceae.
CUGGAAUCUAUAGUAUGCUUGCACCUGAAAAAACGAACCGCGUAAAGGAUGAAUAAAAGCAUGGACAUAUAUACAUGCGCUGCCAAUCCAUGAGAAGUAGCCGCGGAUCCAACGGCUGAUAAACCUAUAUUCAAGUUUCAAUCAAUAACUCCUCCGAAAUAGACACUGCGACUGAGCUGGACUGCUCAGAUCUCAUAUAGU